This 460-nucleotide ribosomal RNA is filed under the name uncultured bacterium. RNAcentral's name for it is "partial 16S ribosomal RNA". It matches the Rfam family "Bacterial small subunit ribosomal RNA", at positions 338 to 795 of the family's 1533-position model. The record is from RNAcentral.
CCUACGGGAGGCAGCAGUGAGGAAUAUUGGUCAAUGGACGCAAGCCUGACCCAGCCAUGCCGCGUGAAGGAAGACGGCUCUCUGAGUGGUAACCUCCUUUUGUACGGGGGUAAAUCCCGAUAUGUGUCUCGGGUUGAACGCAUCGUACGAAUACGGAUCGUCUAAAUCUAUGCCAGCAGCCGCGGUAAUACGGAGGGUUCAAGCGUUAACCGGAUUUAUUGGGGUUAAAGGGUGCGUAGGCGGGUCGACAAGUUAGAGGUGAAAUCCCUGGGCUAAACUAUGGUACUGCCUGUGAUACUGUCGUGCUAGAGUAUAGUUGAGGUAGGCGGAAUGUAUGGUGUAGCGGUGAAAUGCAUAGAGAUCAAGCAGAACACCGAUUGCGAAGGCGGCUUACCAGACUACGACUGACGCUGAGGCGCGAAAGCGUGGGGAGCAAACAGGAUUAGAUACCCCGGUAGUC